RNAcentral lists this long non-coding RNA (1092 nucleotides) under Callithrix jacchus (white-tufted-ear marmoset). RNAcentral's name for it is "lncRNA (ENSCJAG00000077869.1)". Lineage: Eukaryota; Metazoa; Chordata; Mammalia; Primates; Cebidae. The record is from RNAcentral.
GGCCUGGUAUUGCUGCUUAAAGCAGCCUACAGUCAUCAUGGUUACAUUGCUGUCUUUUUGUCACAGAAGCAGGGAACAUAGGAGGCCUUGUGUAACUGUAACAGGUUCAUUACCCGAUGCACACAAUAAGUCAAUGAACUGAGACACUGCGUUGCAGCAGAGAAAGAACUUUAAUCAUAGGGCCACCAAAUGAGGAGAGGGGAGGGAGCCUCAGAUUCCUCUCCCUGAGGUUAGGGUUUUUUAAGGAUUUUGGAGUGGACUGAAUAGUGAAGAAUACUGAUUGGUUGAAGAGUGCAGGGUGAAGUCAUGGGACAGGAAGAUGAAGAAACUGUAUUUUUUCCUGAUUUGAUUCCUCUGUGGGUGUCUUCCAACUGACUGGCUUCAGCCAUUCCCCUGGAAUUUGGGAUUUCAAAAACAUCUUAAGUAAUGCUUACACAAAAGCCUUAUAAUUCUGUUAGAGAUCUUGCCUAAGGAACAGUGAGGAUGCAAACUGUCAGUAUCUAGUGCUCUGUGACUUUUGGCAAUAAGGAAGUGGGCCAAAGUGCAGCAUGACUGAUGUUUAAUUAUAACCAUACUUCUGUUUGGAAUUUUUGCUAACCCUGUGAAGAAGGCUUCCCUUGCUUAUUGGCUGAAGGUCUACAAGGACUUGAUUCACAUAUCUGAUCAUACCUGGAGUCCAGACUUCCUCCUGAUGCCUGGUGGUUCAAGGGAAAUGAGAGACACUUGGAGUACAGUGUUGCAGCUUGAAGUAGAGGUACCUGGCUGAACCCAGCCCAUGUCAGGCAACUCUCAGGUGCAGUACUUUGAAGUCAGACCACCCCCAACUGGCCCGUAUACACAUGACAGUAAGUGAUCAUUGUCUUAAGCUCCUGAGUUUGGGGGUGUUCCAUUACACAGCAUUACUGUGGCAGUAGCUAACUGAUCAUUAAUCAAAGAUUGGAACAGAAAACUUUACAGUGUUUCUAUGCAAUGAUUUAUCUGCCCAUUCUUUAGAGAGAAGGUGGAUAAGUGAUACCUCUAGUAAUUGUUCCAACAAUUCAAAUUAGAAGAAGUUACAUUUCUCUAAAAGUAUGAAUAAAGUGAAUUGAACUA